AGUAACGCGUGAGGAACCUGCCUCAAAGAGGGGGACAACAGUUGGAAACGACUGCUAAUACCGCAUAAGCCCACAGCUCGGCAUCGAGCAGAGGGAAAAGGAGCAAUCCGCUUUGAGAUGGCCUCGCGUCCGAUUAGCUAGUUGGUGAGGUAACGGCCCACCAAGGCGACGAUCGGUAGCCGGACUGAGAAGUUGAACGGCCACAUUGGGACUGAGACACGGCCCAG
This 227-nucleotide ribosomal RNA is filed under the name uncultured bacterium. RNAcentral describes it as "partial 16S ribosomal RNA". It matches the Rfam family "Bacterial small subunit ribosomal RNA", at positions 109 to 334 of the family's 1533-position model. The record is from RNAcentral.